AGUGAACGCUGGCGGUAGGCCUAACACAUGCAAGUCGAACGGCAGCACAGUAAGAGCUUGCUCUUACGGGUGGCGAGUGGCGGACGGGUGAGGAAUACAUCGGAAUCUACUUUUUCGUGGGGGAUAACGUAGGGAAACUUACGCUAAUACCGCAUACGACCUACGGGUGAAAGCAGGGGAUCUUCGGACCUUGCCCGAUUGAAUGAGCCGAUGUCGGAUUAGCUAGUUGGCGGGGUAAAGGCCCACCAAGGCGACGAUCCGUAGCGGGUCUGAGAGGAUGAUCGGCCAAACUGGAACUGAGACACGGUCCAGACUCCUACGGGAGGCAGCAGUGGGGAAUAUUGGACAAUGGGCGCAAGCCUGAGCCAGCCAUACCGCGUGGGUGAAGAAGGCCUUCGGGUUGUAAAGCCCUUUUGUUGGGAAAGAAAAGCAGCAGGUUAAUACCCCGCUGUUCUGACGGUACCCAAAGAAUAAACACCGGCUAACUUCGU
This 491-nucleotide ribosomal RNA is filed under the name uncultured bacterium. Its description in RNAcentral is "partial 16S ribosomal RNA". It matches the Rfam family "Bacterial small subunit ribosomal RNA", at positions 29 to 506 of the family's 1533-position model. The record is from RNAcentral.